This 253-nucleotide ribosomal RNA is filed under the name uncultured bacterium. RNAcentral's name for it is "partial 16S ribosomal RNA". It matches the Rfam family "Bacterial small subunit ribosomal RNA", at positions 524 to 776 of the family's 1533-position model. The record is from RNAcentral.
UACAGAGGUCUCAAGCGUUGUUCGGAUUCAUUGGGCGUAAAGGGUGCGUAGGUGGCGCCAUAAGUCGGGUGUGAAAUCUCGGGGCUUAACUCCGAAACUGCAUUCGAUACUGUGGUGCUCGAGGACUGGAGAGGAGACUGGAAUUUACGGUGUAGCAGUGAAAUGCGUAGAGAUCGUAAGGAAGACCAGUGGCGAAGGCGGGUCUCUGGACAGUUCCUGACACUGAGGCACGAAGGCCAGGGGAGCAAACGGG